UAGGAACAUUCAGAAUGAGAUUUUGGACUUCCAGAACACCCUCCGAAAGCAGGUGGAAGACAUCAUUGAUGCGAAUUCCAGGCUGGAAGAAACCAGAAAGCCACCUGCAGGUGGCAAACAUCUGCAGGAGCAUGAAGUGGGCCAAAUGCCG
This is a long non-coding RNA of Erinaceus europaeus (western European hedgehog), 151 nucleotides long. RefSeq lists it as uncharacterized. Lineage: Eukaryota; Metazoa; Chordata; Mammalia; Eulipotyphla; Erinaceidae. The record is from RefSeq and is a predicted model, not a curated record. The transcript has 3 exons.